Cyprinodon variegatus (sheepshead minnow) is the source of this 903-nucleotide long non-coding RNA. RefSeq lists it as uncharacterized. Lineage: Eukaryota; Metazoa; Chordata; Actinopteri; Cyprinodontiformes; Cyprinodontidae. The transcript has 3 exons. The record is from RefSeq and is a predicted model, not a curated record.
GAGAGCUCUGUGCUUACUGGACAGAGUCAGACUACCUUUCCUGCGAUUCAGAGGGAGCCGAUGGCGUCUUUUCCUGCGAUUCAAACAGAGUUGAAUACAGCGUUUUGUGAACCCGCUGUUAGGAGCCACUGACCCAUGCUAUAAGACCAUCACCUGCUUGACCCGCUGCCUGGGCUGCCUGGACAGGCGUAGCUAAAGGGAGAUGUACCGUCUAAGGCUUCUGUGGCUGGAGCUGACAGGUGGGUGUGGUACACCUGUGGCUCGUUCAGUGGCGUGCGGCCCCGCCACAUAAGCAGCUCUCGGACAGCUGAUGGACGCCAGAGUGUUAACCUUGUUGGUCGCUUCUCAUUAUGGAAAACCUUUCCAGCUGUCCCUCAUGCUCAGACGUCGUCAGUGGAAGAUCUCAUGUUCUGACUGUUCUGGAUCCUCCUCCGAACAAUCCCUCCAGCUCUCCUGGUGGUACCAAGCCGGGCUGGAGACCCUGCCAAGUCCCUCUGGUUCCAUCAGCUGCCCCCAUAUCCCUCCUCGGCCCCUGCUGCUCGGGGCCCUCCUCAUGGACUUUCAUCAGCUGCCCACCUGUCACUCAGUCACCUGGCAACAUCUCGAAGAGCUUCCCCACUGAGUCCGUCUCUCCACUCCCCCCGGCCCGGUUCCAUCAUCCGGUGAUAGCUUUCAUUAACAUUCCCUCUCACUCGUUCUCCCGAUCUCCCAGACGUGUCUAAGUUUUGCUCUCACCACAGAUUGAUCAAGUCCCGCCUAACCCGUUUACUCUACCGAUCCUCAGCUUCCAGUGUCCGUGUUCCUUGCUGUUUGUUUAAUAAACAUCUGAAACUGCUCUUGCCUCCUGUGUUAGUUCUGCAUGUGGGUCAAGCACCUAAAAACCAUGACAGUUUCCCUUAUCCA